This 288-nucleotide unclassified non-coding RNA is filed under the name uncultured fungus. RNAcentral's name for it is "partial contains small subunit ribosomal RNA, internal transcribed spacer 1, and 5.8S ribosomal RNA". The stretch from base 1 to 73 matches the Rfam family "Eukaryotic small subunit ribosomal RNA", at positions 1759 to 1831 of the family's 1831-position model. Lineage: Eukaryota; Fungi. The record is from RNAcentral.
GCAAACUUGGUCAUUUAGAGGAAGUAAAAGUCGUAACAAGGUUUCCGUAGGUGAACCUGCGGAAGGAUCAUUACCGAGUUUUGGGUUCCUGCACAGGGCCCGAUCUCCCACCCCUUGUGUAUUGGUGCUGUUCAAAGUUUCUUGUUGCUUUGGCAGGUGAUUCUGCCUGCCAAACAACAGCACAAAUGAAUCAAUCUCUAAAGGUGUUGUCUGAAAUAUAUUCUUUUGAAAUAGUUAAAAACUUUCAACAACGGAUCUCUUGGUUCCCGCAUCGAUGAAGAACGCAGC